This 442-nucleotide ribosomal RNA is filed under the name uncultured bacterium. RNAcentral describes it as "partial 16S ribosomal RNA". It matches the Rfam family "Bacterial small subunit ribosomal RNA", at positions 338 to 795 of the family's 1533-position model. The record is from RNAcentral.
CCUACGGGUGGCUGCAGUGGGGAAUAUUGGGCAAUGGGCGCAAGCCUGACCCAGCAACGCCGCGUGAAGGAAGAAGGCUUUCGGGUUGUAAACUUCUUUUGACAGGGAAGAGUAGUAGACGGUACCUGUCGAAUAAACCACGGCUAACUACGUGCCAGCAGCCGCGUGAAUACGGAGGUGCCAGGCGUUGUCCGGAUUUACUGGGUGUAAAGGGAGGGUUGGGGGGAGAGCAAGUCAGAUGUGAAAUCUCAGGGCGACACCCCGCGCCUGCAUUUGAAACUGUGUUUCUUGAGUGCUGGAGAGGCAAGCGGAAUUCCUGGUGUAGCGGUGAAAUGCGUAGAUAUCCCGAGGAACACCAGUGGCGAAGGCGGAUUGCUGGACCGUAACUGACGCUGAGGCACGAAAGCGUGGGGAGCAAACAGGAUUAGAUACCCCAGUAGUC